This 456-nucleotide ribosomal RNA is filed under the name uncultured bacterium. RNAcentral describes it as "bacterial SSU rRNA". It matches the Rfam family "Bacterial small subunit ribosomal RNA", at positions 8 to 507 of the family's 1533-position model. The record is from RNAcentral.
AGAGUUUGAUCCUGGCUCAAGAACGAACGCUGGCGGCAGGCUUAACACAUGCAAGUCGAACGGUUGUAGCAAUACAGCAGUGGCAGACGGGUGAGUAACACGUGGGAACCUUCCUAGGGGUACGGAACAACUCAGGGAAACUUGAGCUAAUACCGUAAACGUCCGUGAGGAGAAAGAUUUAUCGCCCUUAGACGGGCCCGCGUCGGAUUAGCUAGUUGGUGGGGUAACGGCCUACCAAGGCGACGAUCCGUAGCUGAUCUUAGAGGAUGAUCAGCCACACUGGGACUGAGACACGGCCCAGACUCCUACGGGAGGCAGCAGUGGGGAAUCUUGGACAAUGGGCGCAAGCCUGAUCCAGCCAUGCCGCGUGAGUGAAGAAGGUCUUCGGAUUGUAAAGCUCUUUUGCCAGGGACGAUAAUGACGGUACCUGGAGAAUAAGCCCCGGCAAACUUCGUG